This 495-nucleotide ribosomal RNA is filed under the name uncultured bacterium. RNAcentral's name for it is "partial 16S ribosomal RNA". It matches the Rfam family "Bacterial small subunit ribosomal RNA", at positions 28 to 507 of the family's 1533-position model. The record is from RNAcentral.
GACGAACGCUGGCGGCGUGCCUAAUACAUGCAAGUAGAACGCUGAAGGAGGAGCUUGCUUCUCUGGAUGAGUUGCGAACGGGUGAGUAACGCGUAGGUAACCUGCCUGGUAGCGGGGGAUAACUAUUGGAAACGAUAGCUAAUACCGCAUAAGAGUAGAUGUUGCAUGACAUUUGCUUAAAAGGUGCAAUUGCAUCACUACCAGAUGGACCUGCGUUGUAUUAGCUAGUUGGUGAGGUAACGGCUCACCAAGGCAACGAUACAUAGCCGACCUGAGAGGGUGAUCGGCCACACUGGGACUGAGACACGGCCCAGACUCCUACGGGAGGCAGCAGUAGGGAAUCUUCGGCAAUGGACGGAAGUCUGACCGAGCAACGCCGCGUGAGUGAAGAAGGGUUUCGGAUCGUAAAGCUCUGUUGUAAGAGAAGAACGAGUGUGAGAGUGGAAAGUUCACACUGUGACGGUAGCUUACCAGAAAGAGACGGCUAACUACGUG